RNAcentral lists this ribosomal RNA (653 nucleotides) under uncultured bacterium. RNAcentral describes it as "bacterial SSU rRNA". It matches the Rfam family "Bacterial small subunit ribosomal RNA", at positions 31 to 678 of the family's 1533-position model. The record is from RNAcentral.
GAACGCUGGCGGCAUGCCUUACACAUGCAAGUCGAACGGCAGCACGGGUGCUUGCACCUGGUGGCGAGUGGCGAACGGGUGAGUAAUACAUCGGAACGUACCUUAUCGUGGGGGAUAACGCAGCGAAAGUUGCGCUAAUACCGCAUACGCCCUGAGGGGGAAAGCGGGGGACCGUAAGGCCUCGCGCGAUUAGAGCGGCCGAUGUCUGAUUAGCUUGUUGGUGGGGUAAAAGCUCACCAAGGCGAUGAUCAGUAGCUGGUCUGAGAGGACGAUCAGCCACACUGGGACUGAGACACGGCUCAGACUCCUACGGGAGGCAGCAGUGGGGAAUUUUGGACAAUGGGGGCAACCCUGAUCCAGCAAUGCCGCGUGAGUGAAGAAGGCCUUCGGGUUGUAAAGCUCUUUUGUCAGGGAAGAAACAGCAGCUCUAACACAGUCUGCGAAUGACGGUACCUGAAGAAUAAGCACCGGCUAACUACGUGCCAGCAGCCGCGGUAAUACGUAGGGUGCGAGCGUUAAUCGGAAUUACUGGGCGUAAAGCGUGCGCAGGCGGUUAUACAAGACAGGCGUGAAAUCCCCGGGCUUAACCUGGGAAUGGCGUCUGUGACUGUAUAGCUAGAGUGUGUCAGAGGGGGGUGGAAUUCCACGUGUAG